This 253-nucleotide ribosomal RNA is filed under the name uncultured bacterium. Its description in RNAcentral is "partial 16S ribosomal RNA". It matches the Rfam family "Bacterial small subunit ribosomal RNA", at positions 524 to 776 of the family's 1533-position model. The record is from RNAcentral.
UACGUAGGGUGCGAGCGUUAAUCGGAAUUACUGGGCGUAAAGCGUGCGCAGGCGGUGAGCUGUGUCCGAUGUGAAAGCCCCGGGCUUAACCUGGGAAUGGCAUUGGAAACUGGCUCGCUGGAGUGUGGCAGAGGGGGGUGGAAUUCCGCGUGUAGCAGUGAAAUGCGUAGAGAUGCGGAGGAACACCGAUGGCGAAGGCAGCCCCCUGGGCUAACACUGACGCUCAGGCACGAAAGCGUGGGGAGCAGACAGG